ACCUGUCCUGGCAUAUGUGCUAUAUGUUGCUUCAAUCUCGUAAUGCCGCCUCUUAUUAUUUCUCUACAAAGUUCACAACGAACAUUGUUUCUAUUUCCAGGUACCGGUGUUCCAAAGUGCCAUCCAAUAUCAUCACUUGGAGCACCCUCUAAUCUUUUUGUAGGAAAUGCUUCUCUUGAUGGCAUUGUGUAUAUUUAAUCGUACCU
RNAcentral lists this long non-coding RNA (206 nucleotides) under Trifolium pratense (red clover). Its description in RNAcentral is "long non-coding RNA (TPRA_LNC009549)". Lineage: Eukaryota; Viridiplantae; Streptophyta; Magnoliopsida; Fabales; Fabaceae. The record is from RNAcentral.